GCCGGGGUAGCCAAGUGGAUUAAGGCGACAGGCUCGAGACCUGCUGGUGCUCUGCACCCCAUGAGUUCGAAUCUCAUCCCCGGCG
RNAcentral lists this transfer RNA (85 nucleotides) under Thermoplasmatales archaeon. RNAcentral describes it as "tRNA-Ser". It matches the Rfam family "tRNA". From Rfam's summary of the family: Transfer RNA (tRNA) molecules are approximately 80 nucleotides in length. RNAcentral also lists the same sequence under 1 other name. The record is from RNAcentral. Lineage: Archaea; Methanobacteriati; Thermoplasmatota; Thermoplasmata; Thermoplasmatales.